This is a non-coding RNA of Sus scrofa (pig), 890 nucleotides long. Lineage: Eukaryota; Metazoa; Chordata; Mammalia; Artiodactyla; Suidae. The record is from RefSeq and is a predicted model, not a curated record.
GAGAAAGGUACUGGGAGGACCACCGGUCGCCGCCGGCGCCGAACCCGAGGGAAUCCGGGAAGCAGAACUUCAGCCGAAACACGGCGAGAGGACCGCGACGCGCGAGGCGGAAGACACUGACCGCUCGGGCCGCAGCAGGUUCCUUCGCGGCCGCCCCCUCCAAGGGGGCUCCCGUUCUGCCCCACGUCGGUGGCCACGACAGGACGCGUGCUCCAGUUCUAUCCCGGUGAGGUGCCGGAUAGCUCCGAACGUGGCAGGACCCACUUUUAUUCUUCCGGACAACGGCCAACAGUUGUGACCCGACCUCCCCGUGAGGUGGCUCCCGGCGACGGCAACGAAGACGGAGACCGGAGCUUACAGUUGAGGUUUGAAAACUGCAGCCGCCUUGCAGGGCAGUGCUGUAGGCUAGAACCCACCCCCUCGGAAGGGAGAGCCAAUCCGAACUCGCGUGGAGGGCUGGGCUGUCACGUGUGGGCGGGGCGGGGCGCCGGGGCGGGGCGCCGGCACAGGGCGCGUGCUGCAGGGCGGGGCCUCGGCGGCAAGGGGGGUGUGGCCGGCGCCCAGCAAUCCGAAGCUGGGAGGAGCUUCGGAGCAGGUGGGGUGCUCCAGUAAUUGCUGCGACCGAGGAGUGAGGCAGGCGCUGCCAGGGACCCCUCAGGGGACUGCACCCGGUCUUCACACAGGGAGUGAACUUCUGCAGACGGGAGAGGGAAAAAGCAGUUAGUUGCUGCUUUCAACUCAUUCCCAAACUUUUGUGCCUCUUUCCUAACUCUUCCUAGUCAUCUUCCUUAUCACCUGAAACCAGGUGGCCAGUGGAGAGCCCCAUAUACUAUAACUUUGCAAAUAUCAACAUCGCUUGGGAUUUAUGGAACUUGGGCCCCACCACUAAG